CCUACGGGUGGCAGCAGUGGGGAAUAUUGCGCAAUGGGCGAAAGCCUGACGCAGCGACGCCGCGUGAGGGAUGAAGGUCCUCGGAUCGUUAACCUCUGUCAGCAGGGAAGAACGGUCACUGUGCUAAUCAGCAGUGAAUUGACGGUACCUGCAAAGGAAGCACCGGCUAACUCCGUGCCAGCAGCCGCGGUAAUACGGAGGGUGCGAGCGUUAAUCGGAAUUACUGGGCGUAAAGCGCUCGUAGGCGGUAUGUCAAGUCAAGGGUGAAAUCCCCGCGCUCAACGUGGGAACUGCCUUUGAAACUGGCAAACUGGAGUGUGUGAGAGGAUAGUGGAAUGCCAGGUGUAGGAGUGAAAUCCGUAGAUAUCAGGAGGAACAUCGGUGGCGAAGGCGACUAUCUGGCACAUAACUGACGCUGAGGAGCGAAAGCGUGGGUAGCAAACAGGAUUAGAUACCCCAGUAGUC
RNAcentral lists this ribosomal RNA (465 nucleotides) under uncultured bacterium. Its description in RNAcentral is "partial 16S ribosomal RNA". It matches the Rfam family "Bacterial small subunit ribosomal RNA", at positions 338 to 795 of the family's 1533-position model. The record is from RNAcentral.